UGUCGAACAGAUUGUAUUGCCUUUCCAA
Molecule: small RNA, 28 nt
Filed under: Bombyx mori (domestic silkworm)
Lineage: Eukaryota; Metazoa; Arthropoda; Insecta; Lepidoptera; Bombycidae
Description: ovarian small RNA-35707
Source: RNAcentral